Molecule: long non-coding RNA, 2863 nt
Filed under: Marmota monax (woodchuck)
Lineage: Eukaryota; Metazoa; Chordata; Mammalia; Rodentia; Sciuridae
Source: RNAcentral
CAAUGUCGAACUCCUAGGCUCCAGCGCAAAUCUUGCUUCAUCCUCUGGAUAGCCGGGUACCAGGCAUGGGCCCGCGCUCUGAGCUGAGCAUGACUAAGCAUGGUUGUUUUACAUUGUGUCUGAUCAUUGGAGUCUCUGUAUUUUUAUUGCCUGUUAUUUUUGCUGAUUUUUAAAAACCUUUUUAUUGGGGUCACUUUUUAUUGGCUGGUUAUCUUUACCUUGAUAGUGGCUGUCGUGUUUGAAUAAUUGCACAAUGUGAAGUAAGCAGUGUUCUGUAGAUUAUGUGAAAGGAAGAUCAAAGCUUGUGGUAUCCAAGGUCAUUAGGGCAGUUUAAUUCACUCUGCAAUCACACGUGAGGUCUCCUUCAUUUCAGUUUACUCCCUGCCUAGAGACAUCCCCUGAGGUCCCACUUCUGUGAAGAGGAUCUUGGAGAUUUCAACCCCUCUUGUUUCACUCCUGGGUUUUGAUUCUUUUCAUCUCCUCAUGAGCUUCCCAUUUUCCUGACUUGAGAACAAAGGUCUACUUCAUGUUCAUUUCAUUUAUAGCUUUCUGCUUUCAUCAGAAUAAUGCCUGCUUUUUUUCCCCCUUGCUGGAAAUGGAACCCUGGGUCUCGUGCAUGUUAGGAAAGCCAUUUCCUGUGAACUAAACCCCAGCCAGUUUUGUGAUUCCUUUCUGUCUUUUCACAUCACUUAUUCACCUAUGGAACUGGAAAAGCAUCCAGCCUUAAAAGUUGUUUUAAAGCAGUGGGGAACUUAAUCCAAACUUGGUCUGCAAUUAAUGGAAGCAGCUAGCUUACAGUGAGAUUUUAAGUUGGCAUGAUCUUGUGAUUAUCCAAUUUUUGGAUAUAUUGGGAUGAUCAUUUGCCGUGACCUGCAUGGCCAAACUCUAGAAACCAGCAAGGGGCCAUGGGGUAUUAAUAAAGACACACAAACAUUAAGAGAGAAAGCUGGGAUCAGGUGAGACACUGACCUCUAGUUGAGAACAGUGACCCAGAGCUGGCUCAACAUGUUUAUUAUAUGGGUUUUUAUCAUCAAAAGAUUAUUUGUGGGAAAGUUCUGCAAAAGAGAGCAAAGUGGAGAGGACAGAUGAACUUUGUGUUUGUAGCCUUUGGAGAUUUUAUGAUUGUGUUCCUGUGUUUAGGAAGGCGAGUGUACAGUGGAUAUUUUGGGAGUAUCUGGGGUGGACUGGUCAGGGACUGUGGAUUGUUUAUCCUGAUAUCCAUCUUUGCCCUCUUAGAAUCAUCAAUGUUUUGCUAAGAUGCAUAGCAUUCUGGAAUAUAUAGAUUAUAUUUGAACCACUUUCUUGAAGCUGGUUUGAUUAAAUGACUUUGUCCUGUCACAUGUGGAAAAGUCAAAGGUUUUGUGAUAAUUCUGAUAGCUUUUGCUAACAGAAAACUAGGACAGUCUGUCCCCAUCUUCCACCUUCAUCCUUUCUGCUGCUUUCAAUAUCGAUGAUGUAACUGGAGCCCCAUCUCAGACCAUGAGGACAAGGUCUACUUUCAGGAACAAGGGAUAGAUAGCUAGAGUCAAUCUGGGCAGAUGACCCUGGGUCCAUGCUCGGGUCUGAUUAUUUGUGAUCUGUACUCCCCCCACCCCAGAUUCAUAAGUUUAAGUCCAAUAUUGUGGCAUGAAAAAGGGGGAAUUUUGGAAGGUGAUUAUGUCAUUAUCCUUUAUGAAUGGGUAUAGUUCCCUCUUUUGAAUGAGCUCAGUGGGAGAUUUCUUUACCCUUCCAGCAUGCAAGGAAACACACAGAAGUUCCAUCUAUGAUGAGCAGGCCUUCUCCAAACACCAAAACUAUUAACACCCUGUUCUUUCCAGCCUCCAGAACUGUGACUAGACAUUUUUGCUGUUUAUGAAUUCUCCAGCCUAAGAUAUUUAUUUUGCUAUGGCAUCCCAGAUGGACUAAGAUAAUUCCUUUCCUCUUGGGGUUGUCCUAUCAAGAUCAGAAUCCUAGUCUGCUACUUACUAGCUGUUUGGCUUGGGGAAAAUCAUUUAUCUCACUAAGGCUUCCUUACUUUACUACUUAAUCGUACCCCCUUUUGUUCUCUUUUGAAGAUUUACAAGUCUGCAUGUACAAUAUAACUGAGCCAAUAUCUUCUAAGCAUUUGCAGUACAUCGAGUCCAAUUUUUUUCCUUUCUUUAUUUUUGCAUCGUGACUUUAAAGCUUAAAUGUUUUAAAAUCAUAAAAGAAAUAUGUUUACAUUUCUAUAUUUAUUUCUUUAUGGUACUUGGGAUAGAACCCAAGACUUUGCACAUGCUAGGGAAGUGCUCUUCCCCUGAGGUAACUUCCUAACCCCAAAGAGAUGUUUGAGUUUUGGAAAACAUGGCAACCUGAUGUUGGAGGAAACCACUGGAACAUUCAGUAGUUUCUAAAUAUCCACAGUUAUGUCUGAGAAACUUUGAUCUGGUCUGCUACUGGCUCCAAUGUGAACUUAAAAUUUGAAGAUGCACAACCAGAAAUCCCUUCUCCCUUAGAUGUUGCAGGUAGUGGAAGUUGCAGGGGUUUUGAAUACAGUGGGAAGACAAAGGAGUGAGGUUAUGGGUGGAAUGGUGGGGGCUGAGGUGGGGGUAAGGGGGUGUCCACUUCAGCACCACGGACAGUAGCUUCCCCUGCCCUGGCUCCUCUCUCUGCCUGUAGGUGUCUCCCGCUGGACACAGGAGGCCACAGACUGGGUGGAUGGGAGGACUACUGGCUGUAAAAUUAGAGAGGAACACCGAUGGCCAAGUGAGACCAAAAUAAAUAAAUAAAUAAAUGCAGUAUUAGAGGAAAGUCACCUUUAUUUUUCUCUUUAUUUAUCUUGCAAGUCCUUUUCUUAUUACAAAAUGAUAUGUAUCCAUAGAAGAAAGUGUAAAAAAUAAAAUUC